GGGGCCGUGUGCUAGCCUGGCAUGCUUCCGGCUUGGGGUGCCGGCGACCCGAGGAGCUUCCUGAGUAAAAUCAGGUUGAAUGGGAAUUCAAAUCUCGGCGGCCCCA
RNAcentral lists this transfer RNA (106 nucleotides) under Microcaldota archaeon. Its description in RNAcentral is "tRNA-Pro". The record is from RNAcentral. Lineage: Archaea; Nanobdellati; Microcaldota.